UAGGGAAUCUUCGGCAAUGGGGGCAACCCUGACCGAGCAACGCCGCGUGAGUGAAGAAGGUUUUCGGAUCGUAAAGCUCUGUUGUAAGUCAAGAACGAGUGUGAGAGUGGAAAGUUCACACUGUGACGGUAGCUUACCAGAAAGGGACGGCUAACUACGUGCCAGCAGCCGCGGUAAUACGUAGGUCCCGAGCGUUGUCCGGGUUUAUUGGGCGUAAAGCGAGCGCAGGCGGUUUGAUAAGUCUGAAGUUAAAGGCUGUGGCUCAACCAUAGUUCGCUUUGGAAACUGUCAAACUUGAGUGCAGAAGGGGAGAGUGGAAUUCCAUGUGUAGCGGUGAAAUGCGUAGAUAUAUGGAGGAACACCGGUGGCGAAAGCGGCUCUCUGGUCUGUAACUGACGCUGAGGCUCGAAAGCGUGAGGAGCGAACAGGAUUAGAUACCCUGGUAGUCCACGCCGUAAACGAUGAGUGCUAGGUGUUGGAUCCUUUCCGGGAUUCAGUGCCGCAGCUAACGCAUUAAGCACUCCGCCUGGGGAGUACGACCGCAAGGUUG
This 550-nucleotide ribosomal RNA is filed under the name uncultured bacterium. RNAcentral's name for it is "bacterial SSU rRNA". It matches the Rfam family "Bacterial small subunit ribosomal RNA", at positions 355 to 896 of the family's 1533-position model. The record is from RNAcentral.